This 507-nucleotide ribosomal RNA is filed under the name uncultured bacterium. Its description in RNAcentral is "partial 16S ribosomal RNA". The record is from RNAcentral.
GGAGUUAGCCGGUGCUUCUUCUGUGAGUGAUGUCCUUCCUGCCGGCUAUUAACCCGCAGGCCUUCUUCCUCACUGAAAGUGCUUUACAACCCGAAGGCCUUCUUCACACACGCGGCAUGGCUGGAUCAGGGUUGCCCCCAUUGUCCAAUAUUCCCCACUGCUGCCUCCCGUAGGAGUCUGGGCCGUGUCUCAGUCCCAGUGUGGCUGAUCAUCCUCUCAGACCAGCUACGGAUCGUCGCCUUGGUGAGCCGUUACCUCACCAACCAGCUAAUCCGACAUAGGCUCAUCCGAUAGCGCGAGGCCCGAAGGUCCCCCGCUUUCCCCCGUAGGGCGUAUGCGGUAUUAGCCUGGGUUUCCCCAGGUUAUCCCCCACUACCGGGCAGAUUCCUAUGCAUUACUCACCCGUCCGUCGCUCGCCACCAGGGAGCAAGCUCCCCGUGCUGCCGCUCGACUUGCAUGUGUUAGGCCUGCCGCCAGCGUUCAAUCUGAGCCAUGAUCAAACUCUGA